Molecule: non-coding RNA, 1470 nt
Organism: Chiloscyllium plagiosum (whitespotted bambooshark)
Lineage: Eukaryota; Metazoa; Chordata; Chondrichthyes; Orectolobiformes; Hemiscylliidae
Source: RefSeq, a predicted model, not a curated record
GGGAACGUGAGUAAAAACAAAUGUGGUGAAUCUCGGAGGUUUCUCAUUGCUGAAUCCUUGAGAUUAAUCUUUAAUCCGAAAGACUCCAGGCCAAUCCUGGAGACUCGACAACUCUAAUGGAAAAGAAAGGCAGAUGUUCGAAAUCAGAAACAGCUGGAUUGUGUGAGGACGUUGUUAAAGGAUCUAAACCAGAUGGUGAAUUGGAUUGAAGAAAUUGCCAGGUGGGAAAACGUGUGCUGGGCACAGGAGAGGAAGAUAAAGAGAUCAUAUUUGAAGGAAGAGGCCAGUUUUGGAAGGGGGUGGAGCAAAGAGGGAUGGCGAGACCAGAACAUCAUAUGGUGCUGUCUAUGGAGUCAGCCAAUCAUAAAGAAGAAGGUACAUUCCAUCUGGGAGGGGAGAGGAGUGAGAAGAUGUCUUUCGCCUCCUCUUGGACAAAGUUUUACUAUGAUCAGCCAAUUCAUAAUGCUCUGUUAAUCAAUUGUACUUCUGAAGUGUACUAACUAAUAUAUGUUGGAAAAGUGACAGCCAACUGACACACAGCAGACAAUAAUGAACAACAAUGUGAUAAAGACUAAGCAAACAGUUAUCAUCUUGUUAGAUAGAGACACAAUUAAUGGCCAGGACACCAAAGAUAAUUCUUUGUGGAGAUGAAAUCAAUCUUCACAGUAACAAACCUUCCAUUGCCAUCAUUAAAUCCUCCACAAUCAUUACUAUGGGGAUUACCCUUGAUAAGAAAGUGAACUGGACUAGCCAUAUUAAUGUUUGAGCUAUAAUGAAAGGUCAGAGGUUUGGGAUUCUGUGGCGCACUCAUUGUCUCCCCAAAGUCAGUCCAUACCUAGAUGGAACAAAGCAGGAGUCAAAUGGAACAAUCUCCAUUUCCCUGCAACUCUAACAAUACUCAGGAACCUGAUGCGAUCCCAGAAAAGCAAUUUGCUUGAUUGACACUCCAUCCACCACCUUCAACAUUCACUGCCUUCAUCAUUGACACACUAUAGAAGCAGUGUAUGCCAUCCAUAAUUUGCAAUGCAGUAUUUCACCGUGGCUCCUUUGAUAGCAUCUCCCAAACUCACAAUUUCUGCUCCCUUGAAAGACAAGGACAGCAGAUAUAUGGGAACACCACCACCUGCAAGAACCCUUCCAAGUCACUCAUCAUCCUGACUUGAUAUUAUAUUGCUGUUCCUUCUGUAUCAUAGGGUUAAAACCCUGGAACCCCAUUCUUAACACUGCUAUGGGUAUAACUACAUCCCAAGGACCAGAGCAGUUAAAGAAGGCAAUCCACCAUCACUUUCUCCAGAGCAAUUAGGGUGAAGAAUGGGUAGGAAAAAUGAAUUUGUAGAGUGCAUCACUGAUUAUUUCCUUGAACUGUACAUUACCAAAUCUACUCAGGAACUGUUUUUUUUAGAUCGAGUAAUGUAUAAUGAGGUAGGUUUAAUAAGAGAGAAAACAGAAAUUGCUGGAACACCGCAACAA